This 343-nucleotide unclassified non-coding RNA is filed under the name soil metagenome. RNAcentral describes it as "partial contains 5.8S ribosomal RNA, internal transcribed spacer 2, and large subunit ribosomal RNA". The stretch from base 1 to 120 matches the Rfam family "5.8S ribosomal RNA", at positions 35 to 154 of the family's 154-position model. The record is from RNAcentral.
GAUGAAGAACGCAGCGAAACGCGAUAGUUAAUGUGAAUUGCAGAAUUCAGUGAAUCAUCGAGUUUUUGAACGCAUAUUGCGCCCUCUGGUAUUCCGGGGGGCAUGCCUGUUCGAGCGUCAUUAAAUAACCCUCAAGCAUAGCUUGGUGUUGGGCUUUUUUACGUCCUUGACUGGGAUGGGCCUAAAAAUUAGUGGCGAUGGCUUUUUUACUUUCAAGCGUAGUAAAUCUCGUCUUGCUAAAGAGGAAAAAGAUUUUUUUUCUGCCAAAAAUUUUAACAUUUAAAGUUGACCUCGGAUCAGGUAGGAUUACCCGCUGAACUUAAGCAUAUCAAUAAGCGGAGGA